AUAAUGGUACGGUGCGACCGGACGAUGGUUCACAACGACCGUUUUUUUCUAACAUUGGUCGGUGGGACUUUCGUCCGUUUGUAACGCCAUUAUUCAACGU
Molecule: microRNA precursor, 100 nt
Filed under: Glossina pallidipes
Lineage: Eukaryota; Metazoa; Arthropoda; Insecta; Diptera; Glossinidae
Also listed under: 1 other name
Description: microRNA mir-278
Rfam family: mir-278 microRNA precursor family (bases 11-85)
Source: RNAcentral